RNAcentral lists this ribosomal RNA (253 nucleotides) under uncultured bacterium. Its description in RNAcentral is "partial 16S ribosomal RNA". It matches the Rfam family "Bacterial small subunit ribosomal RNA", at positions 524 to 776 of the family's 1533-position model. The record is from RNAcentral.
UACGUAGGUGGCAAGCGUUAUCCGGAUUUAUUGGGCGUAAAGGGAACGCAGGCGGUCUUUUAAGUCUGAUGUGAAAGCCUUCGGCUUAACCGGAGUAGUGCAUUGGAAACUGGGAGACUUGAGUGCAGAAGAGGAGAGUGGAACUCCAUGUGUAGCGGUGAAAUGCGUAGAUAUAUGGAAGAACACCAGUGGCGAAAGCGGCUCUCUGGUCUGUAACUGACGCUGAGGUCCGAAAGCGUGGGUAGCAAAUAGG